Molecule: transfer RNA, 60 nt
Filed under: Biomphalaria glabrata
Lineage: Eukaryota; Metazoa; Mollusca; Gastropoda; Planorbidae
Rfam family: tRNA
About the family: Transfer RNA (tRNA) molecules are approximately 80 nucleotides in length. Their secondary structure includes four short double-helical elements and three loops (D, anti-codon, and T loops). Further hydrogen bonds mediate the characteristic L-shaped molecular structure. tRNAs have two regions of fundamental functional importance: the anti-codon, which is responsible for specific mRNA codon recognition, and the 3' end, to which the tRNAs corresponding amino acid is attached (by aminoacyl-tRNA synthetases). tRNAs cope with the degeneracy of the genetic code in two manners: having more than one tRNA (with a specific anti-codon) for a particular amino acid; and 'wobble' base-pairing, i.e. permitting non-standard base-pairing at the 3rd anti-codon position.
Source: Rfam by way of RNAcentral
GUGGCUAAGUGGUGAAGCGCUUGGCUUCCAAACCGAGGGGUCCCGGGUUCGAAUCCUGGC